AGGCUUAACACAUGCAAGUCGAGGGGCAGCAUGGUCUUAGCUUGCUAAGGCCGAUGGCGACCGGCGCACGGGUGAGUAACACGUAUCCAACCUGCCGUCUACUCUUGGACAGCCUUCUGAAAGGAAGAUUAAUACAAGAUGGCAUCAUGAGUCCACAUGUUCACAUGAUUAAAGGUAUUCCGGUAGACGAUGGGGAUGCGUUCCAUUAGAUAGUAGGCGGGGUAACGGCCCACCUAGUCUUCGAUGGAUAGGGGUUCUGAGAGGAAGGUCCCCCACAUUGGAACUGAGACACGGUCCAAACUCCUACGGGAGGCAGCAGUGAGGAAUAUUGGUCAAUGGGCGAGAGCCUGAACCAGCCAAGUAGCGUGAAGGAUGACUGCCCUAUGGGUUGUAAACUUCUUUUAUAAAGGAAUAAAGUCGGGUAUGCAUACCCGUUUGCAUGUACUUUAUGAAUAAGGAUCGGCUAACUCCGUGCCAGCAGCCGCGGUAAUACGGAGGAUCCGAGCGUUAUCCGGAUUUAUUGGGUUUAAAGGGAGCGUAGAUGGAUGUUUUAAGUCAGUUUGUGAAAGUUUGCGGCUCAACCGUAAAAUUGCAGUUGAUACUGGAUAUCUUGAGUGCAGUUGAGGCAGGCGGAAUUCGUGGUGUAGCGGUGAAAUGCUUAGAUAUCACGAAGAACUCCGAUUGCGAAGGCAGCCUGCUAAGCUGCAACUGACAUUGAGGCUCGAAAGUGUGGGUAUCAAACAGGAUUAGAUACCCUGGUAGUCCACACGGUAAACGAUGAAUACUCGCUGUUUGCGAUAUACGGCAAGCGGCCAAGCGAAAGCGUUAAGUAUUCCACCUGGGGAGUACGCCGGCAACGGUGAAACUCAAAGGAAUUGACGGGGGCCCGCACAAGCGGAGGAACAUGUGGUUUAAUUCGAUGAUACGCGAGGAACCUUACCCGGGCUUAAAUUGCAGAUGAAUUACGGUGAAAGCCGUAAGCCGCAAGGCAUCUGUGAAGGUGCUGCAUGGUUGUCGUCAGCUCGUGCCGUGAGGUGUCGGCUUAAGUGCCAUAACGAGCGCAACCCUUGUUGUCAGUUACUAACAGGUUCCGCUGAGGACUCUGACAAGACUGCCAUCGUAAGAUGUGAGGAAGGUGGGGAUGACGUCAAAUCAGCACGGCCCUUACGUCCGGGGCUACACACGUGUUACAAUGGGGGGUACAGAGGGCCGCUACCACGCGAGUGGAUGCCAAUCCCCAAAACCUCUCUCAGUUCGGACUGGAGUCUGCAACCCGACUCCACGAAGCUGGAUUCGCUAGUAAUCGCGCAUCAGCCACGGCGCGGUGAAUACGUUCCCGGGCCUUGUACACACCGCCCGUCAAGCCAUGGGAGCCGGGGGUACCUGAAGUGCGUAACCGCGAGGAGCGCCCUAGGGUAAAACUGGUGACUGGGGCUAAGA
This 1440-nucleotide ribosomal RNA is filed under the name uncultured organism. Its description in RNAcentral is "SSU rRNA". It matches the Rfam family "Bacterial small subunit ribosomal RNA". The record is from RNAcentral.